AGCAGCCGCGGUAAUUCCAGCUCCAAUAGCGUAUAUUAAAGUUGUUGCAGUUAAAAAGCUCGUAGUUGAAUUUCGAGACCGGUUUACUGGUCGUGCUUUUGUACGUACUGGUAUUAUUGGUUUCUCCUUUCUGACGAAUCAUAAUGCCAUUAAUUUGGUGUUUUGGGGAAUCAGGACUGUUACUUUGAAAAAAUUAGAGUGUUUAAAGCAGGCUCACGCUUGAAUACAUUAGCAUGGAAUAACGAAAUAGGACGUUUGAUUUUAUUUUGUUGGUUUCUAGGAUCGACGUAAUGAUUAAUAGGGAUAGUUGGGGCAUUAGUAUUCAAUUGUCAGAGGUGAAAUUCUUGGAUUUAUUGAAGACUAACUACUGCGAAAGCAUUUGCCAAGGAUGUUUUCAUUAAUCAAGAACGAAGUUAGGGGAUCGAAGACGAUCAGAUACCGUCGUAGUCUUAACCA
RNAcentral lists this ribosomal RNA (456 nucleotides) under uncultured Glomus. RNAcentral's name for it is "SSU rRNA". It matches the Rfam family "Eukaryotic small subunit ribosomal RNA", at positions 569 to 1032 of the family's 1831-position model. Lineage: Eukaryota; Fungi; Glomeromycota; Glomeromycetes; Glomerales; Glomeraceae. The record is from RNAcentral.